UAACCGACAGUUUCGAAUCUGGCCAAUGAUGUUCCUCGAUCAUCCAGCCGUGUUUGCACUGUCGGAGUCCCCGUCGCUCUCGCUGCGAGAAACGAAUGUAUCCGGCCGUGCUCCCGAAACUUUUGAGGAAUUCCAACGUUUUUAAGCGAUUCAUCGAGUGGACGACUGCGUGCUGCAGUUGUGCUUUUCAUCUCCUGCGUACGCACAAAACUGGAAUGCUGGAGGACUUCAGCUCAAGAAUGUCAUGCUGGACCACUACCAGAGCGUGCUUAAAGGAAUCAAUGCCUUGAUGAAGGUAUCACCGAA
Ornithodoros turicata is the source of this 306-nucleotide long non-coding RNA. RefSeq lists it as uncharacterized. NCBI's taxonomy places the organism in Eukaryota, Metazoa, Arthropoda, Arachnida, Ixodida, Argasidae. The record is from RefSeq and is a predicted model, not a curated record. The transcript is spliced from 3 exons.